GCCAGGCGUGGUGGCGCUUGCCUGUAAUCUCAGCCACUCAGGAGGCUAAGGCAGGAGGAUCACAAGUUCAAAGCCAGCCUCAGAAAUGGUGAGGUGCUAAGCAACUCAGUGAGACCCUGUCCCUA
Molecule: small RNA, 125 nt
Filed under: Marmota monax (woodchuck)
Lineage: Eukaryota; Metazoa; Chordata; Mammalia; Rodentia; Sciuridae
Source: RNAcentral